AUUGAACGCUGGCGGCAGGCCUAACACAUGCAAGUCGAGCGGAGCGGCGGACGGGUGAGUAAUGCCUAGGAAUCUGCCUGGUAGUGGGGGAUAACGUCCGGACACGGGCGCUAAUACCGCAUACUAUCAGAUGAGCCUAGGUCGGAUUAGCUAGUUGGUGGGGUAAAGGCCUACCAAGGCGACGAUCCGUAACUGGUAUGAGAGGAUGAUCAGUCACAAGGGAACCGAGACACGGGCCAGACUCCUACGGGAGGCAGCAGUGGGGAAUAUUGAACAAUGGGCGAAAGCCUGAGCCAGCCAUGCCGCGUGUGUGAAGAAGGUCUUCGGAGUGAAAAGCACUUUAAGUUGGGAGGCGGUACCAAGAGAAUAAGCACCGGCUAACUUCGUGGCAGCAGCCGCGGUAAUUC
Molecule: ribosomal RNA, 407 nt
Filed under: uncultured bacterium
Lineage: Bacteria
Description: partial 16S ribosomal RNA
Rfam family: Bacterial small subunit ribosomal RNA
Source: RNAcentral